GCGCGGAUGGUGGAAUUGGUAGACACGCUAGCUUGAGGGGCUAGUGGGAGCAAUCCUGUGGGGGUUCAAGUCCCCCUCCGCGCA
Molecule: transfer RNA, 84 nt
Filed under: Leptospiraceae bacterium
Lineage: Bacteria; Pseudomonadati; Spirochaetota; Leptospiria; Leptospirales; Leptospiraceae
Also listed under: 1 other name
Description: tRNA-Leu
Rfam family: tRNA
About the family: Transfer RNA (tRNA) molecules are approximately 80 nucleotides in length.
Source: RNAcentral